GCCGGAGUAGCUCAGUUGGUAGAGCAACUGAUUCGUAAUCAGUAGGUCGGUGGUUCGAGUCCACUCUCCGGCACCA
Molecule: transfer RNA, 76 nt
Filed under: Gammaproteobacteria bacterium
Lineage: Bacteria; Pseudomonadati; Pseudomonadota; Gammaproteobacteria
Description: tRNA-Thr
Rfam family: tRNA
About the family: Transfer RNA (tRNA) molecules are approximately 80 nucleotides in length. Their secondary structure includes four short double-helical elements and three loops (D, anti-codon, and T loops). Further hydrogen bonds mediate the characteristic L-shaped molecular structure. tRNAs have two regions of fundamental functional importance: the anti-codon, which is responsible for specific mRNA codon recognition, and the 3' end, to which the tRNAs corresponding amino acid is attached (by aminoacyl-tRNA synthetases). tRNAs cope with the degeneracy of the genetic code in two manners: having more than one tRNA (with a specific anti-codon) for a particular amino acid; and 'wobble' base-pairing, i.e. permitting non-standard base-pairing at the 3rd anti-codon position.
Source: RNAcentral